AGCGAACGCUGGCGGCAGGCUUAACACAUGCAAGUCGAGCGGACCUUUCGGGGUCAGCGGCGGACGGGUGAGUAACGCGUGGGAACGUGCCUUCCGGUUCGGAAUAACCCUGGGAAACUAGGGCUAAUACCGGAUACGCCCUUAUGGGGAAAGGUUUACUGCCGGAAGAUCGGCCCGCGUCUGAUUAGCUAGUUGGUGGGGUAACGGCCUACCAAGGCGACGAUCAGUAGCUGGUCUGAGAGGAUGAUCAGCCACACUGGGACUGAGACACGGCCCAGACUCCUGCGGGAGGCAGCAGUGGGGAAUAUUGGACAAUGGGCGCAAGCCUGAUCCAGCCAUGCCGCGUGAGUGAUGAAGGCCUUAGGGUUGUAAAGCUCUUUUAUCCGGGACGAUAAUGACGGUACCGGAGGAAUAAGCCCCGGCUAACUUCGU
This 432-nucleotide ribosomal RNA is filed under the name uncultured bacterium. Its description in RNAcentral is "partial 16S ribosomal RNA". It matches the Rfam family "Bacterial small subunit ribosomal RNA", at positions 29 to 506 of the family's 1533-position model. The record is from RNAcentral.